This 5723-nucleotide long non-coding RNA is filed under the name Phoenix dactylifera (date palm). RNAcentral describes it as "long non-coding RNA (PDAC_LNC001631)". The record is from RNAcentral. Lineage: Eukaryota; Viridiplantae; Streptophyta; Magnoliopsida; Arecales; Arecaceae.
UGCUGGUGAUGAGUCUCUGCUUCAUCGGCUUCGUUACGGCCCUCCACGUCUUCGGCAAGCUCUACCGCUAUCGAUCCACGGCUACCGGCGGUUCUUGAUCCGCCCGCCGCCUGAUCUGUCUGUAAAAGAUCUAAGCUUUCUUGUUUUCGUUUCCUUCCUUUUUAGGUCAAGCUCAAGCUUUCCUUUUGGACGAUCCUUCAAGACUGAAAUUUUCUGUCCUAGAAUAGAUCGUUUCCAGUUCAUGGUUCGAUCUAGAUCUUUCUUUAUGCGAUAAAGAUUCUGUCUUUUUUUUGUGUCUAUCAUUUUGCUGAUCGGCUUACGUUCUUGGAUGGUGGAUUUGCUUGCAAUUUAUGGAUGAGAUGAUGAUUGAUAAAUGUCAAAGGCUGUAGAUAUACCUGAAUUCGGGCUGAUGUAUGUGUGGGAACGUUAUGAUGAUAUUUCUGCAUAUAGAAAAUAAGCAAUGAAUUCAUUAGAAGAGCAUAUUUGUUAAUUUAUCUAUGAAGCAAUAAACCAAUACAUUAUUUUGCAGUCUUCAUCAUCUAGCAUUUAAUAAAUCUCAACAUUCAUGAUCCCCGUUUGCAGAUCUGCUGGCUUUUAUUAUUAUGGAUCGGUUAAUUUGACCUCCUUUAUUUCUGCAUUGAUUUGUAUAUAACUUCGAAUCUUAAUGAACCAAAAUCCUUUUAUCAUUUUCUUUCUCGUGAUUCUGCUGCUCUCUUUGGGGGAGUUUGCAUUUUUUCCCCCCUCCAAAAGCCAAAAAAUUAUUAACUAGAUAUAGGUCAAGUAACAGCAGUUGCUAUGCAAGUGAUGAAAUAAUUUUGAUGCAGUAUUUGUUGUGAAUGGUUCCCAGAUUAGGAGUCCUGAAUAUUUAACCUAUUGCUUAUCAGCUUUAGAUGCGAAUGCGCUUUGCGACAGAGAGUGGUAGGCUUGCAUUUUUGCAUAAAUUUGAAUAAAGCAGAAAUUAUAUGGGAUUAUUAAACUUCCCAAUCUUUAGAGUGCAAUGGCUUUUGAGUAUCAAGGGCGAGGACAUGCCAAAAUGGGAGGCUUGCAAGGUUGUCACUGCCAGGUCACGUUUACCUAUUGAUAUAAGAGUGUGAUCUGAGAAUCCCAUCAAAGAGUAAAGAGUUUAGCUAAAUGCCUAUAUCAGGAGGAUAAUCCCAUGUAACAACCAUAGGAGGUAUCUAUGUUGAAAGCAACAACUAGUAGAGUCAGGGGAAUAGGAAUUACUUCCUAAUCAUAUGUAAUUCGACCUAAUCUAUUGUCUGUAUUCUAUGGCUUGUAGGCUCUUCCUUCACUUACUGUGGUGAAGAAUUGGUUUCUACAAGUGGAUCUCCUACUACUCACUCCCGUAUCCUAAACAGUUAAAUGUAUGGAAAGUGAGAAGAAAAGAAUUUUACUUGCAUGCAAGGCCCUCACAUUUUUUCCCUUUUUACUUUUUAUCUUCUUGCCGGCAGGUUUAUAUUAAUGUUUUCUGCUUCCUCUCACCUGCUGGUGCAUUGUUUUGCUCAAUUUUUUUAUUGAUUUGUUUUCUCUUCUGUUGUUUAAUAUCUUUUGUCCUCUUCUGAGGUGCCCUUGCCUUAUUAUCCUCUUUCUAAUUGGCAUUUUGCUCCCUCUUUUCCAUCUUAUAUAGAUUUGUCUGUUCCCUUUUCUUUUUCUCUUUUAAAAUAGAGUUUAUCAUUUUAAACAAGUAGUCCAUUAUUAUGUUAAUUUGAAGUAUGUUACAGAGAAGAGUGUGAAUGCAUGCACAAUGUAUUCGGUAGAAUUAUGAAUAUUGAGAUGGACGUUCUGUGAAAUUGGGGAGAAUAAAGAGUAUGAUGGAGGAGGAGGCUUAUGGGCGGAGUUGCUGAGAACUUAGUUAUGGAAUCCAUAUAUUGAUGGUUUGGCCCCAACUACUGAGGGCUUAAGUUAACAUGGAUAAGAGAGGAGGGGGGCUAUAGAAUAAUGGACUAGAGUUGUCAUGAAUGCUUUUCAAAAGUCAUUAAGUGGAAAGAGAAGGACUUAUGCAUCUAAUCCUGUAUAAUUGGAUAAGAAUUGUUGCUAAUUGUCAUGGUAUGCUUUCCUCUCAGACUUGUUCUUGACAUGGUUUAGAGCUAUUAAGUCAAUGCAGGGGAUCAGAAUCCCAGAUAGAAGGUUUCAUCUAACAUCUGUUGGAGUUUGCUUCUUGGUAGUGAUUGAUCUAUAUAUAGAAGACCUAUUGGUUCUAGAUUACCAGGCCUUGAAAGAGUUUACAAAGAACAAGAAAGCAAAGUGCUUUACCAAAAUUUUAUAAGAAGUCAAUAGGACAGGAGAUAGCAUUCGUAUGCUUCUGCUUUUCUAUACACAAUAAGAAAAUCUCUUUAGGGAGACAUAAGAAUGAAAUUUGGUAAUGGAUGCAAAAUUGUUUUCUAAAAAUGUCCGUGGACCAAGCUAGUUUCCAUGCUUUAAAUGAGUACCCGUAAAAGCAAAUUAGACCUAAUUGUUAUGAUGAAAUUGCAUUCAGUUCUCUGUUGACAUUUUUGAACUAUGUAUGGAUAAGUUCUUUGUUCAAGAUGUAGAUUGUCACAGUUUUUUUUGUCCCAUUAUCAUCUUUGAUUAAAAGAAAAUGCUAAUCACAAGUUCUUCCAGAUUGCCUUUAUGGAGUUCUGGAAUUUCUUUUUGGUGCCGCUUUUCAUUUCUUUAAUCAUAUCAAUUAUUUCUUGCACACCCCCCUUCCUUCCACUCCCCCUCAAAGCAUUUAAGUCUAGAUUUUGACAAUACUGUAAGUUUGUCAGAAGAAAAAUAUAUCAUAUGAUGGCAGUGGGAAUAACUGCACUGUGCAUGUGAAUGUCUGGUUUGCUUGUACUCAUAAGACUCGGACAUGUACACAAAAGACAGAAACAGAAACAUGCAUGCACAUCUACAUUUUUAUUUACUCUUACUGAUGAGAUCCUUAGAGAUUUACCUGAGUAUCAUUUCUCCUGUUGAGGAUGAAGGUGAGAUCCUUGGGCUUUUAUAUUCAAUUGUCAUUUCUGUUGCCUGGAAUAAAAGAGAUAUUAAAACAAUUAAUUGGAGCCAUGUCCAUUUUAUUGAUCAUUGCCAUAGAUCUGUGACUCUGUCGGCAAGGUUUGCCAUGUGUGAUGUGGAAAUGAAUGCUUAACCUGAGAUCAGUAGGGUGAAGAGGAGGCAGAGAGUUCUUUUGCUUGGCAACUUAUUUUUUUCCCCUAUAGUAUUUUGUUUUGCAAUUUUUCCCCUGGUAAGUCUGCAGUAUCUUUCCCAACUUAAAUUAGUCCUAUUAUCCAGUGUGGUCUUUUGCAUUCUAUGUAGCUUUAAUUUUCCACGUUUCGUCGUUGAUCCCUCUUUGUGCAUUUGGUAUUUGAGUUUUGUCUGAUCUCUGUUUUGUUAUUUUACUUUUAUCUAUAUAGCAGUUAUGUUCGAAAACACUGAUUCUCUAUCUGGUUAAAAUUGUUCUUUUGCCUAUUAAAAUGUUCGGAUCAGAUCGCUUAGGAUUAUCCUAAUCUUUGUUCCUGCCAAAUCUGUCAUCCUAGCCUGGAUCCAAUUUUUUUUCCAUCAAAUCUUGGAUUAUCAAUCAAUCGAUGAUAUCAUCAAAUAUACAUCUCCUAGAAAUAAAAAGAAAAUCUGACCAUUAUAUUCUCAUACCAGGUAUCUUUUUUUGGUUCACAUCACCUAGCAUUACCCUACUUUUAGUUUUGCUUUCAUUUUAUUAAUGCUUUUUGAGGGAAUUCAUUUUAUAAAUGUGUUCAUUGAAUAGAAGCCUGACCUGCAUAUUAUCUCAAGCGCCCUUGCACCUUCUUUGAGUCCGCACCUUCCUCAGAAACUCAGGCAUCCAGACCGUUUUGUUCGGCCAUUCCCUAUGCUCUAAAAAUUUAGGAACAGGCUCCUGAGAUUCAAAUACAGCGAAAGCCCAGGUGAGAUUGGCUGCCAAUCACCAGCAAUAAGGCUAUCGGCUUUUGUAAGCUGCCAGCUAGCUUGAUGGUAAGAUCUUUUGGUGGUUAUGCUUGAGACUUCGGAAGUGAUUUUGGUCUGCCUUAAAAAAAAAAGGUUAUGCUUGAGACUUCGGAAGUGAUUUUGGUCUGCCUUAAAAAAAAAAAAGGAGCUGAGUAGCCAAAGAUCAUUAAGAUUUAAUGUUUCCUUUCUUUCUUUGCUGCUUUUUUCCCUGAGGGCUGCAGAAAAACUUUUUUGAGUAUGUUGGAGGAUUUAGGCCAUCGAUCAUUGGAUUCACUGUUGCAUGCAUGCUAGCCAGUCAGCUGUAAAAUCUUAUAAAGAUAACAGAAAAUGGCUGCAGCUGAAAAAGAAAAAUCUUCACACAGAAUGAAACUUUUAUGAGUAUGGAUUGCCUGGAUAUCAUGAAAGAGUUUGCAUAAAGCUAUUUCAUGCGUAAUUCUAUGGAAAUCUGCUUUCUCUCUUCUUUGAUAAUAGUUUGAUAUGUCUACAAAGCUAAUCUACGAGCUCUUUGCUUUUUUUCUAUAAUUUUGCCAUAUUUCUCCCAUUGUCCAGUCAUCUUUGAUCUAUUUUACAUGGAAUACUACUGUAAAGGUAUUCCGGUAAAAUAUCCUCUCAUUGCUUUCUGGUUUUCCAACCAUCUGCGUUUCCACCAAUAAUAACACAGCGAGUCUCUAUUACUGUAUGAUUUAUAGUCUAUUGAUUCUCUGUUCUUUCACAGGAUACCACGUUGAUUGGGGUGGUUCUCUUUGACAAAAAAAAUAAAAAAAAAAUGAAACUCUUAAAUCAUUUCAAGUAUUUCUUCAUCUCACCACCAUUUGAGCAGUAGCACCACUUAAAAUUUUGCAGGAUUGUGCGCGGUGAACGUUGCGGGUCCACCGUCGCCAACUUGUGAGCCUCGACGUAAGCCGCAACUCCGUAAAGUGGAGGGAAACAUCUAGCCGUUUAACUUUCAACGUACCCUGGAAGUCCUCGUUGAACCUAAUUGCCAAUCGGUCUACUUACGAAAGCUUUUUGGUAGGUUGAGUACAUGGUGGCUUCACGUCUCCGAUCUGGAUUGGCUUUGCCAUUCUGGAUGUCUUGGUCCCCAGCACUAAUAGCGAGGUUGCUUGUAGGAGGUGAAGAGGUUUUCUUCUUCUUCUUCUCUUUCUUUUUUUGGGUGGAGGAAGAGGUUUUCUUGUUUCAAGAGUUUGUUAGGCCAAAGUUAAAUAUUUAAUAACAAGAAAAUCCUCAUAGUCAUAGAUACUAUUGUUAAAUAACACAUCUUUUCCUUAUAUAGAAGUCCGACUAAAUAUUGAUCUUUAGUGCAUCUUAGUGUUUAUAAGCCUGGGGCAGGUUCCUCACCUGGUAGUUAAGUGUUCUCCAUCAUGAGUUUGCAAUAAGUGGUAUUAGAGCUGUGCUCAAUGUCUGACAUAAUUAUUAUAAAAUUGCAAGCUUAUUUCUAGUUGGGAAGUGCCAUGUUGGCUUGGUGGCUAGCUUAAUUAUAGUUUCGGAUUUUUACAUUUGCAUAUUAACUAAAAACCACUCCAAAAUCUAAAUUUUAUGAUCUGCAUUCUUGAAUUAUAUUAUCGUCAUUUUUAGCCAGUCUAGAUGAAAUCAACAGUUUCAAAUCCCAAUAAAAUUAGCAAUUUCAAAUCCCAAUUAGUCGAGGCUUUGGUUUCUGUAUUGCAAAAUCUUUAUGAUAUUAAUAUAUAUAAAUUUAGAUUCCAAUCACAAUUAAGAUUAGAUAGAUUAGAGCGUAUGCAUACCUAACGUGAACAAAAUUCCCGAUAGAUUCAAGCAGCUAAAGACAUGAUCAUACUCGACUC